GAGUUUGAUCAUGGCUCAGGAUGAACGCUAGCGGCAGGCUUAAUACAUGCAAGUCGAGGGGCAGCAUAAGUAGCAAUACUUGAUGGCGACCGGCAAACGGGUGCGGAACACGUACGCAACCUUCCUUUAAGUGGAGAAUAGCCCGGGGAAACCCGGAUUAAUACUCCGUAACAUUAUGAAGUGGCAUCACUUUAUAAUUAUAGAUUUAAUCGCUUAAAGAUGGGCGUGCGCCUGAUUAGGCAGUUGGCGGGGUAACGGACCCGACCAAACCUACGAUCAGUAACUGGCGUGAGAGCGCGACCAGUCACACGGGCACUGAGACACGGGCCCGACUCCUACGGGAGGCAGCAGUAAGGAAU
This 359-nucleotide ribosomal RNA is filed under the name uncultured Sphingobacterium sp. RNAcentral describes it as "bacterial SSU rRNA". It matches the Rfam family "Bacterial small subunit ribosomal RNA", at positions 9 to 362 of the family's 1533-position model. Lineage: Bacteria; Pseudomonadati; Bacteroidota; Sphingobacteriia; Sphingobacteriales; Sphingobacteriaceae. The record is from RNAcentral.